RNAcentral lists this transfer RNA (84 nucleotides) under Treponema sp. RNAcentral's name for it is "tRNA-Leu". It matches the Rfam family "tRNA". From Rfam's summary of the family: Transfer RNA (tRNA) molecules are approximately 80 nucleotides in length. Their secondary structure includes four short double-helical elements and three loops (D, anti-codon, and T loops). Lineage: Bacteria; Pseudomonadati; Spirochaetota; Spirochaetia; Treponematales; Treponemataceae. The record is from RNAcentral.
GCCCGGAUGGUGGAAUUGGUAGACACGCUAGCUUCAGGUGCUAGUGAGCGUACGUUCAUGGGGGUUCAAGUCCCCCUUCGGGCA